RNAcentral lists this ribosomal RNA (369 nucleotides) under uncultured soil bacterium. RNAcentral's name for it is "bacterial SSU rRNA". It matches the Rfam family "Bacterial small subunit ribosomal RNA", at positions 26 to 373 of the family's 1533-position model. The record is from RNAcentral.
AGAGUGAACGCUGGCGGCAGGCCUAACACAUGCAAGUCGAACGGCAGCACAGGGGAGCUUGCUCCCUGGGUGGCGAGUGGCGGACGGGUGAGGAAUACGUCGGAAUCUGCCUAUUUGUGGGGGAUAACGUAGGGAAACUUACGCUAAUACCGCAUACGACCCCAUUUCGAGAGUCAUGGGGUGAAAGCGGAGGACCUUCGGGCUUCGCGCAGAUAGAUGAGCCGACGUCGGAUUAGCUAGUUGGCGGGGUAACGCCCACCAAGGCGACGAUCCGUAGCGUGGUCUGAGAGGAUGAUCAGCCACACUGGAACUGAGACACGGUCCAGACUCCGUACGGGAGGCAGCGAGUAGGGGAAUAGUUGGACAAGU